AUCAGCAAGAUCCUUCUCAAGAGGUUCUAUCUUUUUCUUUCUCUUCUUCUUUUCUCCUUUCAUCUAUUUCUCUUAUUCUUCAAUCUUCUCUUAAUUUUCUUUUAAAAGAAAAUGUCUAAAUCUUUUUUUUUUCUUAGAGCCGUACUACUUUUUUAAUUUUUUUCCUCUUUUUUUUAUUACGAAAAUUAAUUUAAAAUUUAUUAAAAUCUUUAAAAAAAUAUUUUAAAAAAUCUAAAAAUUAAUCUAAAAUUUUUAGAAAAUUCUAAAUUUGGUUUUAAAUUGAUUUUGGGCUCAUCACUUGGAAGAUAGAUUAUGGUUUUCUUAAUCUGUCCUGCAUCAGUUUUGGUAUCAGAGCAAAAUUGAUCAAUAAAUUAAUUUUCAUAAUGCCGACAAACGCAAUACUUUGUUCAAUGCUUGAAGAAUUUAAAUUUUCUACCAACACUCGUUUUGAAAAGUUAGAAACUAAUUUGCAAUCAACUAACCAACAAUUAGCGAAAAUCAAACAACUCCUUGAAAACCUAAUUCAUUCUAAACCUCCACCGCUCACGAGCUCGUCUAUAACAUCUGCAACUUUCGUCCCACCUUUGUCCCACCAGAACAUCAUUUCUAUUUCUUUUAUCUCUUCUUUCCAAACUGUUCUGAGAUUUGAUGGUGUUCAUUCUCGAGUGCAAAUUAAUCAGCAAUUUUCUCGUAAUCUUAUUUCAAGAAAAUUGGUAGAAAAAUUAAAUUUUAUGCCCUGCCGUUGUUCUUCUCCUUAUCUUAUUUCUUAUGGUGGCACUAUUAUCAAAUCUAACUAUAUUAAAUCCGGCAUACUCACAAUGCAAGAUGAAUACCAACAGGAAAUUGUAUUCGUCAUGGUUGAUAUUGAGGGAUGUGAGAUAGUACUUGGACAACACUGGCAUGAAUCAAAAAAUGCUUUUCAAGCCACAGAGGAAAAUUAGUAUAUCUUUCAUGAUAAUGGCAUUCAAUAUGCUAUUUUUCCAAACGUAAAGAAGCCGAAGCCGAUGUAGCUACAUCCAAUCAUGUCCGACUCUUCACCACCUUCAUCGACUCCACAAACUUUGGAGCCAUCUAGGCAGAUUACGGAGCUGCCUGUUAUUUCACCUUCGUUACCACCACCGAAGACUCCUUUUCUACUACAAGUUGAGUUUCAAACUGCAGUCGUGGCUGAGAUGGUGCUGACAAGGAUUAUUCGACAUUCAGGUGUCGGACUACAUCAUCAUAUCUGUGUUAUGGUUUGGUGCUAUUAACUUCUUCUUCUAAAUAUAUUGAUCUCGAGGACGAGAUCCUGCGCAGCGGAAGCGAAUGAUGCAAAAUUGAGGGCGGAUAGGAUUGAUUCGUUUAGGUUUUCAACUUUUUCCUAAUUUUCGGAAUUAUUUUACUUAUUAAUUUGUUUUAGUCGAUUUUGUGAAGAUUUUUAGGAUUUAUCAUAUGAAAUAAAUCCCUAAAAAUUAGGGAUAUGGUUUAGAUUUUUUAUAUAUAUACUCGAAUUAGGAAAAAGCCCUAAAAUCUUGGGAUUUGAAUUAGAUUAGGAUUACGGUUGGAAGGUUAUAAAUAUAGCCUAUAAUUUGUAAUUUGGGAACGAGUUAUGAUAGAAUAGAAUUUGGGUUUGUGUUUUGAUUGCAGUCAUGGUAUCUUCGUCCUCUCUCCUUCUCUGCUGUGUGUAUCAGCAAGAUCCUUCUCAAGAGGUUCUAUCUUUCUCUUUCUCUUCUUCUUUUCUCCUUUCAUCUAUUUCUCUCUUAUUCUUCAAUCUUUUCUUAAUUUUUUUUUUAAAAAAAUGUCGAAAUCUUUUUUUUUUCUUAGAGUCGUAUUACUUUUUUAAUUUUUUCCUCUUUAUUUUUAAUUACGAAAAUUAAUUUAAAAUUUAUUAAAAUCUUUAAAAAAAAUAAAAAAAUCUAAAAAUUAAUCUAAAAUUUUAAAAAAAUUCUAAAUUUGGUUUUAAAUUG
This 1946-nucleotide long non-coding RNA is filed under the name Ananas comosus (pineapple). RNAcentral's name for it is "long non-coding RNA (ACOM_LNC017016)". The record is from RNAcentral. Lineage: Eukaryota; Viridiplantae; Streptophyta; Magnoliopsida; Poales; Bromeliaceae.